AAAUUUAUCCAAAACUGUUGAACAGAUAUUUAAAAAUAAAAGUUCUGUUGACCAGAAUUCUCCAUUUGCUUUUCUCCUGGCAAACUUAUCAACCUUAGUUGUCAUUUUAAAUUGUCCUUUUAACUUUUGCUGCUUUAAGAUAUACUUUAUAUGAAAGUUUCAGUUCCCACCUCCUCUACUUCAGAGAACUACCCUUCUUCUCUUGAAUGACACUACUUGCUCAAGUAAUAAACACAGACACACACAAACACACAUACGAAUCCACUUCAGUCUUAGGUAGAAUAUAACCUUGAGGCCCCCUAUCCUGUGGGUCAGAAAUGACAGUCUGGUUAUAUCACUGUUUCUUUCUCCUUAUGGUUUAAUGGUGUGGAAUUUCAUUUUACAUUAUAGCUGACAUUUUUAUUUUUAUAUGUUUGGAACAGGAAGAGCAAGAUCUGGAUCAACAGGGAAAUGAGGAAAACCUGUUUGAUUCUUUGACAGGCCAGCCACAUCCUGAAGAUGUACUACUGUUUGCCAUUCCAAUAUGCGCCCCUUACACCACCAUGACAAACUACAAGUAAGUUACCAUUAGUUGACAGAACGGCUUUUGUGGAUUGUUUUGUAACAUCUAUUUAGUAACACAUGUAAUUCCUUUUUAAAGAUACAAAGUGAAACUUACUCCUGGAGUGCAGAAAAAGGGAAAAGGUAUUUAAAUUUGUUUUUUUGAAUUAUGAUUUUAAACAGUUCAGUGACUUAACAGUAGAUUAUUCUUACUCUUUUUUGUAUUUACAGCUGCAAAAACAGCCUUGAAUAGUUUCAUGCAUUCCAAAGAAGCAACAGCAAGAGAAAAAGACUUAUUCCGCAGUGUAAAGGUAAAGUUCUCCUUCAGAAA
This 871-nucleotide small RNA is filed under the name Pongo abelii (Sumatran orangutan). Its description in RNAcentral is "processed transcript". Lineage: Eukaryota; Metazoa; Chordata; Mammalia; Primates; Hominidae. The record is from RNAcentral.